AUUGAACGCUGGCGGCAGGCCUAACACAUGCAAGUCGAACGGUAACAGGAAGAAGCUUGCUUCUUUGCUGACGAGUGGCGGACGGGUGAGUAAUGUCUGGGAAACUGCCUGAUGGAGGGGGAUAACUACUGGAAACGGUAGCUAAUACCGCAUAACGUCGCAAGACCAAAGAGGGGGACCUUCGGGCCUCUUGCCAUCGGAUUUGCCCAGAUGGGAUUAGCUAGUAGGUGGGGUAACGGCUCACCUAGGCGACGAUCCCUAGCUGGUCUGAGAGGAUGACCAGCCACACUGGAAGUGAGACACGGUACAGACUCCUACGGGAGGCAGCAGUGGGGAAUAUUGCACAAUGGGCGCAAGCCUGAUGGAGCAAUGCCGCGUGUAUGAAGAAGGCCUUCGGGUUGUAAAGUACUUUCAGCGGGGAGGAAGGGAGUAAAGUUAAUACCUUUGCUCAUUGACGUUACCCGCAGAAGAAGCACCGGCUAACUCCGUG
This 490-nucleotide ribosomal RNA is filed under the name uncultured bacterium. Its description in RNAcentral is "partial 16S ribosomal RNA". It matches the Rfam family "Bacterial small subunit ribosomal RNA", at positions 30 to 507 of the family's 1533-position model. The record is from RNAcentral.